RNAcentral lists this ribosomal RNA (450 nucleotides) under uncultured bacterium. RNAcentral's name for it is "partial 16S ribosomal RNA". It matches the Rfam family "Bacterial small subunit ribosomal RNA", at positions 354 to 796 of the family's 1533-position model. The record is from RNAcentral.
GUGGGGAAUCUUCCACAAUGGACGAAAGUCUGAUGGAGCAACGCCGCGUGAGUGAAGAAGGGUUUCGGCUCGUAAAGCUCUGUUGUCGGGGACGAAUGUGCAGUAUUUGAAUAAAGUAUUGCAAUGACGGUACCUGACGAGGAAGCCACGGCUAACUACGUGCCAGCAGCCGCGGUAAUUCGUAGGUGGCAAGCGUUGUCCGUAAUUAUUGGGCGUAAAGGGAGCGCAGGCGGGAAGGUAAGUCGGUCUUAAAAGUGCGGGGCUCAACCCCGUGAUGGGAUGGAAACUAUCGUUCUUGAGUGCAGGAGAGGAAAGUGGAAUUCCUAGUGUAGCGGUGAAAUGCGUAGAUAUUAGGAGGAACACCAGUGGCGAAGGCGACUUUCUGGACUGUAACUGACGCUGAGGCUCGAAAGCCAGGGGAGCGAACGGGAUUAGAUACCCUGGUAGUCC